Molecule: ribosomal RNA, 1282 nt
Filed under: Melamphaus faber
Lineage: Eukaryota; Metazoa; Arthropoda; Insecta; Hemiptera; Pyrrhocoridae
Description: 16S ribosomal RNA
Rfam family: Archaeal large subunit ribosomal RNA (bases 841-1210)
Source: RNAcentral
AGUUUAUAUUUAUUAUUAUUUAAUUAUUUAGUAUUUUUUAAUUAAAAUAAUUUAUAAUUUAGUACUUUUUAUGGAAAUAUUAAAAUAUAAUGAUAGUUUAUUGUACUGUAAAGGUUAAUUAUUUUAUUAUAGAAGUAUAAUUUAUUUAGUACCUUUUGUAUCAGGGUUUAUUUAUUUUAAGUUAAAUAUUUUACCAACUCCCGAAAUUAAAAGAAAUAAAAUUAAAUGUAAGUUUGUGUAAUAAAAUAAUUUAUUAUUUAAUUUUAGUAAUUAUAUGUUAUUCAGUUUUAAAUAUCUGGUUACUUAAGAAUUAAAUUUAAUUUAGAAGUUUUAUGUUAGUUAAGGAAUAAAUUUAUUUUUUCUUAAUUUAUUACUUUAAGAUUACUAGGGAUUAGCUUAGUUAUUAUUUAUAUAAUUUGUAAAGUUAUUAAUAGGUCUAUUUGUAGGAUUAAAAAUAUCCAUCUUUAAUAAUUUGUUGUAAUUAAGUGAGAUUUAUUAUAUUUUAUUUUUACUAUAUUUAUUUAAAUAUUAAGUAUUAUAAUUUUAUUUUAAAAUUAUAGAUAUAAUGAUAAAAUAAGUAGAUUAUUAAUUUAAAAUUAGGAACUCGGCAAAUUAAGUCCUCGCCUGUUUAACAAAAACAUGUCUUAUAGUUUAUUUAUUUUAAGUCUGGCCUGCUCAAUGAAUAUAUUUUUAAUUGCUAUAGUAUUUUAACUAUACAAAGGUAGCAUAAUAAUUUGUCUUUUAAUUGAAGGCUUGCAUGAAUGGUUGGACGAAGGAUAUUCUUUCUUUUUUUUAAAUUUAAAUUGAAUUUAUAAUUUUUGUAAAAAGACUUAAAUGUAGUUGUGGGACGAGAAGACCCUAUAGAAUUUUAGCUAAUAAUUAAAAAUCCUAUUUUGGUAUUAAUAAAUAGGAUUUUUAAUUAUUAGCUUUUGUUGGGGUGAUUUUAGAAAUUUAUAAACUUCUAUUUAAUAUUUAAUCAUAAAUUAAUGUAUUAAGGAUCCUUUACUAUGGAUUAAAAGAUUAAAUUACCUUAGGGAUAACAGCGUUAUUAUUCUGGAAAGUUCUUAUUGAUGGAAUAGUUUGCGACCUCGAUGUUGGAUUAAAGUUAGUUUUAGGUGUAGAAGCUUAAUAAACUAGGUCUGUUCGACCUUUAAAUCUUUACAUGAUCUGAGUUCAGACCGGCGUGAGCCAGGUUGGUUUCUAUCUACAAUUUUUUUAGUAGUACAGUACGAAAGGACCUAUUACUUUUAAUAUUUAAUAUUUAAAUGAUUUUUAUUAAUUA